AAGUCGCGAAAUGAAGUGAACAUUAGGAUGAUGGCACUUCUGCAGGACCCGCCGGGAAGGCGUAGCGGCGUAGCAAGGACAGGCUUCAGGAUGAAGCACAGGAUAACGCAGGAUGGCGUAAAGGACACCUCCAGGAUGGAGAACGUGAGCCGCUCAUGAUGAACGGUGGAUCAGGAAGAUCGGGAUAGACUUAAGGACAGGUAAUUUCACAUCGGGGUGGUGUGAAAGCAGGACGCACUGGUUUAUGGAUGAACAUGGUCAGGAGACCUCAGGAAAAGUUUUCACGGACGAGCAGGGAGCACCAAUGUAGCUGGAUUGCUGCGAAACGAACCGGGAGCACUGUUUAUACAGUGCUCCCUUUUUUUAUU
This 368-nucleotide non-coding RNA is filed under the name Klebsiella terrigena. Lineage: Bacteria; Pseudomonadati; Pseudomonadota; Gammaproteobacteria; Enterobacterales; Enterobacteriaceae. The record is from RNAcentral.